AGCGAACGCUGGCGGCAGGCCUAACACAUGCAAGUCGAACGCGUGUAGCAAUACACGAGUGGCAGACGGGUGAGUAACACGUGGGAACGUGCCCUUCGGUUCGGAAUAACUCAGGGAAACUUGAGCUAAUACCGGAUACGCCUUACGGGAAGGAUUAUCGCCGAUGGAUCGGCCCGCGUCUGAUUAGCUAGUUGGUGAGGUAACGGCUCACCAAGGCGACGACGGGUAGCCGGCCUGAGAGGGCGGACCGGCCACACUGGGACUGAGACACGGCCCAGACUCCUACGGGAGGCAGCAGUGGGGAAGUAUUGCACAAUGGGCGGAAAGCCUGAUGCAGCGACGCCGCGUGAGGGA
This 354-nucleotide ribosomal RNA is filed under the name uncultured bacterium. Its description in RNAcentral is "bacterial SSU rRNA". It matches the Rfam family "Bacterial small subunit ribosomal RNA", at positions 30 to 408 of the family's 1533-position model. The record is from RNAcentral.